GCCGGGUCGAGUCCGGUCCAGUCCGGGCGCUGCGGGCAGCCCCGGGGGCUGCUCAUCCGACUGCAGCCGCUGCUGGAAGGUCUUCUCUCCCAACAGAGAUUAUCUUGGAGCCAGAGAUAAGGAAGGGAUCAGGGAUCUCCCAAGAAGGAGUCAAGAAUCCAGUUUAGGAGCCAGGGAGGUGUCUGGCAGGGAGUGUCUCCGGAGCUGAACAAGGUGAAUUUGCUUUGGAUGAUCUGGGAACUGGUGUAGUCAGAGGUCCUGACUGAUAGCCCCUGAACUAAACUUCUGGGAAAGCACUGACCUUCCACCUGGAGUCCAUUGUUGGCUGUGGAGGUAAGGAAGGACCUCAACCUGACUCUGUGGGAUUUGACCUGGUAAAAGUGCUAGAGUUUUGCCCAG
RNAcentral lists this long non-coding RNA (399 nucleotides) under Vombatus ursinus (common wombat). Its description in RNAcentral is "lncRNA (ENSVURG00010011358.1)". Lineage: Eukaryota; Metazoa; Chordata; Mammalia; Diprotodontia; Vombatidae. The record is from RNAcentral.